GACGUAGGGCGCGAGCGUUGUCCGGAUUUAUUGGGCGUAAAGAGCUCGUAGGCGGCUUGUUGCGUCGACCGUGAAAACCCGCGGCUUAACUGCGGGCUUGCGGUUGAUACGGGCGGGCUGGAGUUCGGUAGGGGAGACUGGAAUUCCUGGUGUAGCGGUGAAAUGCGUAGAUAUCUGGAGGAACACCGGUGGCGAAGGCGGCAUCCUGGACCGACACUGACACUGAGGAGCGAAAGCCAGGGGAGCAAACGGG
Molecule: ribosomal RNA, 253 nt
Filed under: uncultured bacterium
Lineage: Bacteria
Description: partial 16S ribosomal RNA
Rfam family: Bacterial small subunit ribosomal RNA
Source: RNAcentral